This 434-nucleotide ribosomal RNA is filed under the name uncultured bacterium. RNAcentral's name for it is "partial 16S ribosomal RNA". It matches the Rfam family "Bacterial small subunit ribosomal RNA", at positions 29 to 508 of the family's 1533-position model. The record is from RNAcentral.
AACGAACGCUGGCGGCAUGCCUAACACAUGCAAGUCGAACGAGACCUUCGGGUCUAGUGGCGCACGGGUGCGUAACGCGUGGGAACCUGCCCUUAGGUUCGGAAUAACUCCCCGAAAGGGGUGCUAAUACCGGAUAAUGUCUUCGGACCAAAGAUUUAUCGCCUUUGGAUGGGCCCGCGUUGGAUUAGCUAGUUGGUAGGGUAAAAGCCUACCAAGGCGACGAUCCAUAGCUGGUCUGAGAGGAUGAUCAGCCACACUGGGACUGAGACACGGCCCAGGCUCAUACGGGAGGCCGCAGUGGGGGAUAUUGGACAUUGGGCGAAAGCCUGAUCCAGCAAUGCCGCGUGAGUGAUGAAGGCCUUGGGGUUGUAAAGCUCUUUUACCCGGGAUGAUAAUGACAGUACCGGGAGAAUAAGCUCCGGCUAACUCCGUGC